UUGAGAUCAGCGGGGUGGGAGA
RNAcentral lists this unclassified non-coding RNA (22 nucleotides) under Chlamydomonas reinhardtii. RNAcentral's name for it is "small RNA Cre_3893". The record is from RNAcentral. Lineage: Eukaryota; Viridiplantae; Chlorophyta; Chlorophyceae; Chlamydomonadales; Chlamydomonadaceae.